RNAcentral lists this ribosomal RNA (1345 nucleotides) under uncultured bacterium. Its description in RNAcentral is "bacterial SSU rRNA". It matches the Rfam family "Bacterial small subunit ribosomal RNA", at positions 28 to 1381 of the family's 1533-position model. The record is from RNAcentral.
GACGAACGCUGGCGGCGUGCUUAACACAUGCAAGUCGAACGAUGAAGCGGUGCUUGCACCGUGGAUUAGUGGCGAACGGGUGAGUAAUACGUGAGUGACCUACCUUUGACUCUGGGAUAAGCCUGGGAAACUGGGUCUAAUACCGGAUACGACCAAUCUCUGCAUGGGGUGUUGGUGGAAAGCGUUAUGGAGUGGUUUUAGAUGGGCUCACGGCCUAUCAGCUUGUUGGUGAGGUAAUGGCUUACCAAGGCGACGACGGGUAGCCGGCCUGAGAGGGUGACCGGCCACACUGGGACUGAGACACGGCCCAGACUCCUACGGGAGGCAGCAGUGGGGAAUAUUGCACAAUGGGCGCAAGCCUGAUGCAGCGACGCCGCGUGAGGGAUGACGGCCUUCGGGUUGUAAACCUCUGUUAGCAUCGAAGAAGCGAAAGUGACGGUAGGUGCAGAGAAAGCGCCGGCUAACUACGUGCCAGCAGCCGCGGUAAUACGUAGGGCGCGAGCGUUGUCCGGAAUUAUUGGGCGUAAAGAGCUUGUAGGCGGUUGGUCGCGUCUGCUGUGAAAGGCCGGGGCUUAACUCCGGUUUUGCAGUGGGUACGGGCUAACUAGAGUGCAGUAGGGGAGACUGGAAUUCCUGGUGUAGCGGUGGAAUGCACAGAUAUCAGGAGGAACACCGAUGGCGAAGGCAGGUCUCUGGGCUGUAACUGACGCUGAGAAGCGAAAGCAUGGGGAGCGAACAGGAUUAGAUACCCUGGUAGUCCAUGCCGUAAACGUUGGGCACUAGGUGUGGGGGACAUUCCACGUUUUCCGCGCCGUAGCUAACGCAUUAAGUGCCCCGCCUGGGGAGUACGGCCGCAAGGCUAAAACUCAAAGGAAUUGACGGGGGCCCGCACAAGCGGCGGAGCAUGCGGAUUAAUUCGAUGCAACGCGAAGAACCUUACCAAGGCUUGACAUGCAUUAGAUCGCGUCAGAGAUGGCGUUUCCCUUCGGGCUGGUGUACAGGUGGUGCAUGGUUGUCGUCAGCUCGUGUCGUGAGAUGUUGGGUUAAGUCCCGCAACGAGCGCAACCCUCGUUCUAUGUUGCCAGCGGUUCGGCCGGGGACUCAUAGGAGACUGCCGGGGUUAACUCGGAGGAAGGUGGGGAUGACGUCAAAUCAUCAUGCCCCUUAUGUCUUGGGCUUCACGCAUGCUACAAUGGCCGGUACAGAGGGUUGCGAUACUGUGAGGUGGAGCUAAUCCCUUAAAGCCGGUCUCAGUUCGGAUUGGGGUCUGCAACUCGACCCCAUGAAGUCGGAGUCGCUAGUAAUCGCAGAUCAGCAACGCUGCGGUGAAUACGUUCCCGGGCCU